GCCGAGACGGUCUAAUCGGCUAAGGCGUCGCCCCGUAUAGACGAAGGUUGCGGGUUUGAUCCCCGCUCCUGUCC
Molecule: transfer RNA, 74 nt
Filed under: Ixodes scapularis (black-legged tick)
Lineage: Eukaryota; Metazoa; Arthropoda; Arachnida; Ixodida; Ixodidae
Description: tRNA-Tyr
Source: RNAcentral